CCGGAUUUGAACUUUGUGAAUAAAUCCUUAAAAACCUUCUCAAAGACACCUUCAUCAUCUUCGUUGCUCUGCAACUGUAUGAAAAAAAAAAAAAUUAUAGUAUUUCUGAGUCACCUUGUCGCAACCAAGAUACUCUCGAACGUUGGUCUCUUCCUUAUUCAAUUUCCAUGUAGUUUUGUGUCUUCAAAUAUGACCAAAAUGUAUUAUCACUUGUACUGUACCAAUGUAUGGACUAAAAAACAGUAGCAUUAAACUGGGACAAGCUCCAGUAUUUAUAGACAAUACCGUAGCAAUGUAUAAGAACACACAAUUGCUCGGUAAUGCACAUGCAUACCCAGAUGUGGGUCUCUGCUUUUUGCUGAUUUCUUUUGUUACAUUUUCUUCGAAAAUGGUUUUAUAUGCAUUUUACAUCUACGAAUGCUAAUGCUUUACCUUUGUCUCUCUCUCUCUCUCUCUCUGACCACUCACUUCGUUUUGAUUCGAUACUUUUCCGAUCCCAACCACAAUGGUGCACCACGAGGGCGACUCGAAAUCGGGGAAGAAGGACUUCUCGACGGCGAUUCUAGAGAGGAAAAAGUUGUCGAAUCGGCUUGUCGUUGACGAGGCGGUCUACGACGAUAACUCCUUCGUCGCUUUGCACCCUGAUACCAUACAGAAGCUCCAGCUUUUCCGUGGCGACACGAUUCUCAUCAAGGUAAAGAAGCGGAAGGACACAAUCUGCAUUGCUAUUCCCGAUGAAACAUGUGAGGAGCCAAAGAUUAGGAUGAACAAGGUUGUUAGAUCAAAUCUGAGGGUUCGGCUUGGGGAUGUUGUAUCUGUGCACCAGUGCCCUGAUGUUAAGUAUGGGAUGCGUGUCCACAUUCUGCCUGUUGAUGAUACUAUAGAAGGUGUUACAGGCAAUCUGUUCGACACAUACCUGAAACCGUAUUUCUUGGAUGCUUAUCGCCCUGUAAGGAAGGGAGACCUAUUCCUUGUCGAGGGAGGGAUGAAAAGUGUACAGUUCAAGGUUAUGGAAACCGACCCAGGGGAGUAUUGUGUGGUUUCCCCAGACACAGAAAUCUUUUAUGAGGGGGAUCCUGUCAGAAGGGAGGAUGAAGAUAGGUUGGAUGAAGUUGGAUACGAUGAUGUGGGUGGAGUUCGGAAUCAGAUGGCUCAGAUUCGUGAGUUAGUGGAGCUGCCUCUAAGGCACCCUCAGCUUUUUGAAUCAAUUGGUGUGAAACCACCUAAAGGCAUUUUGCUUUAUGGACCCCAAGGUUCUGGAAAGACGUUAAUAGGUAGAGCUGUGGCUAAUGAAACUGGAGCGUUUUUUUGCAGUAUUAAUGGACCAGAGAUUAUGUCCAAAUUGGCUGGAGAGAGUGAAAGCAAUCUCCGGAAGGUGUUUGAAGAAGCUGAAAGGAAUGCUCCAUCCAUCAUUUUCAUUGAUGAGAUUGAUUGCAUUGCUCCUAAGCGGGAGAAGACACAUAGUGAAGUUGAAAGGAGGAUUGUUUCACAACUUUUGACUCUUAUGGAUGGACUGAAAUCUCAGGCCCAAGUUAUCUUUAUUGGGGCUACAAAUCGUCCAAAUAGCAUUGACCCGGCUUUGAGAAGGUUUGGUCGUUUUGAUAGGGAAAUAGAUAUUGGUGUUCCGGAUGAAGUUGGCCGCCUUGAAGUUCUUCGCAUCCAUACCAAGAGCAUGAAACUCUCUGAUGAUGUUGAUUUGGAAAGAAUUGCAAAAGAUACCCAUGGGUAUGUUGGUGCCGAUCUUGCUGCUCUCUGCACUGAGGCUGCACUGCAGUGCAUUAGAGAGAAGAUGGAUAUGAUUGACUUGGACGAUGAAUCUAUUGACGCUGAGAUACUUAAUUCUAUGGCUGUUACUAAUGAGCACUUCCAGACUGCUCUUGGAACAAGCAACCCAUCCGCUUUACGAGAAAUAGUGGUUGAAGUGCCCAAUGUCAGCUGGGAAGACAUUGGAGGCCUUGAGAAUGUUCAGUGGGAACUUCAAGAGACUGUACAGUAUCCUGUGGAGCACCCAGAGAAAUUGGAGAAAUUUGGAAUGUCACUUUCAAAAGGGGUCCUUUUAUAUGGUCCCCCAGGAUGUGGGAAAACUCUAUUGGCCAAGGCAAUUGCAAAUGAAUGUCAAGCAAACUUCAUCAGUAUCAAGGGCCCUGAACUGCUUACAAUAUGGUUUGGUGAGAGUGAAGCCAAUGUUCGAGAAAUUUUUGACAAGGCUCGACAAUCUGCACCAUGUGUCCUUUUCUUUGAUGAGCUUGAUUCAAUUGCUUCCCAGAGAGGAAGCAGUGUUGGGGAUGCAGGUGGUGCUGCUGAUCGGGUUCUGGACCAGCUUCUUACUGAAAUGGAUGGCAUGUCUGCAAAGAAGACUCUGUUCAUAAUUGGGGCUACCAACAGACCUGACAUAAUUGACCCAGCACUUCUGAGGCCUGGUCGUCUUGACCAAUUGAUUUAUAUUCCUCUCCCUGAUGAGAAGUCACGCUAUCAAAUCUUUAAAUCCCGCUUGAGAAAAUCACCUGUCUCUAAAGAUGUUGAUUUGAGAGCAAUGGCCAAACGUACUAAAGGCUUCAGUGGAGCUGACAUCACAGAGAUUUGCCAGCGAGCAUGCAAGUAUGCUAUAAGAGAGAACAUUAAAAAGGACAGAGAGAAGGAGAGGAGGAGAAGCAAGAAUCCUGAGGCUAUGGACGAGGAUGACAACAAUGAAGUGGCAGAGAUUAAAGCUGCUCAUUUUAAGGAGUCCAUGAAGUUUGCCCGUAGGAGUGUUAGUGAUGCUGAUAUACUCGAAUACCAGGCAUUUGCUCAGACCUUGCAGCAGUCUAGGGGUUUUGGAAGUGAAUUUAGGUUCUCUGAGACACAUACUGGGGCCAACAUUAAAUCUGAUCCAUUUUUAACUUCUGCUAGGCUGAUGAAGAUGAUUUCUUUUUGUUUAGUUUUUUAUAUUUUUUUGAAAUGGUUAGGAACUUAGGAAUACAUAUAUUCUAGUAGGCCUGUUUGCACUGAAGAAACUGGCGGGCGCCCCGGAUUGACCGUAACAAGGCUCCACUGUAGGUGUCUAGUAUGGUGGGUGGGUAUUAGAGAAAUAUAGUGAAUAUGAAUGUUUUUUUUUUUUUUUUUUUAAUGAUCUGACGUGGUUUGGGUGUGUUAAUUGCAUUGUGUUUGGUUCUUGAGA
Quercus lobata is the source of this 3157-nucleotide RNA transcript. It is a transcript of the gene named cell division cycle protein 48 homolog, with no coding region annotated. NCBI's taxonomy places the organism in Eukaryota, Viridiplantae, Streptophyta, Magnoliopsida, Fagales, Fagaceae. The transcript has 9 exons. The record is from RefSeq and is a predicted model, not a curated record.